GUCACGCCCGAAGUCGUUACUCCAACUGUUCGCAGAGGGGGACGCCGAAGGCAGGGCUGAUGACUGGGGUGAAGUCGUUACAAGGUAGCCGUACCGGAAGGUGUGGCUGGAUCACCUCCUUUUAGGGAGACCUCCCACUCUGACCUGAAAGCAAAGAGUAAAUAGGGACAGAGCUGGUCAACCCGAGGUCGGUCAGGGAAUUAGCGCAGGCUUUCAAACUAAUCUAGGUUUGGUUCAUGGGCUAUUAGCUCAGGUGGUUAG
RNAcentral lists this unclassified non-coding RNA (261 nucleotides) under uncultured cyanobacterium. RNAcentral describes it as "partial contains 16S ribosomal RNA, 16S-23S ribosomal RNA intergenic spacer, and 23S ribosomal RNA". The stretch from base 1 to 122 matches the Rfam family "Bacterial small subunit ribosomal RNA", at positions 1414 to 1533 of the family's 1533-position model. The record is from RNAcentral. Lineage: Bacteria; Bacillati; Cyanobacteriota.